Leopardus geoffroyi (Geoffroy's cat) is the source of this 473-nucleotide long non-coding RNA. RefSeq lists it as uncharacterized. NCBI's taxonomy places the organism in Eukaryota, Metazoa, Chordata, Mammalia, Carnivora, Felidae. The transcript is spliced from 2 exons. The record is from RefSeq and is a predicted model, not a curated record.
CCUGGGUCCCGAGGCCCCGGUGACAAUUGCAUUUCAGGGCCGGGGACCUGGGGUGUGUGGUGGGGCCGCCCCCUCUCCCGCCCGGCGCAGAAGCAGGAGCCACCCCAUCCCCCACCGGCGCGGUCUCGCUUCACCGCCACAGUUCAGAAGCCACAUGGAAGCCGCGGGACCCGAGGGCAAUGCGCGAGGCCGCGGUCACAGACGGCGUGCAAAUGGACUGGCGAAAUGUUUGAAAGCAGCCCCCAGAUCAGCUGCUCUCAUUCCACUGCCUGCAGCAUCCUGGCACUCGCUUGGGGGACACCCGAGAGUCAUCGAUCAAUAGGCCCUCGUCCCAGGGGAUAAGGCCGGCCAGCUGCCAGGGAGCCGCAUUCUAGCAAAGGUGGUUAUCCGGUGGAGCCCGUUGUGGACGAGCCAGCUUGAUGGAGAAAUGGCUUUGCAGAUCCCAGCUUAAUUAAAGCAGGUAUUUAGAGUAA